This 234-nucleotide ribosomal RNA is filed under the name uncultured bacterium. RNAcentral describes it as "partial small subunit ribosomal RNA". It matches the Rfam family "Bacterial small subunit ribosomal RNA", at positions 26 to 288 of the family's 1533-position model. The record is from RNAcentral.
AGAGCGAACGCUGGCGGCAGGCUUAACACAUGCAAGUCGAACGGAUCCUUCGGGAUUAGUGGCGGACGGGUGAGUAACACGUGGGAACGUGCCUUUAGGUUCGGAACAACACAGGGAAACUUGUGCUAAUACCGGACGUGCCCUUCGGGGGAAAGAUUUAUCGCCUUUAGAGCGGCCCGCGUCUGAUUAGCUUGUUGGUGAGGUAAAGGCUCACCAAGGCUACGAUCAGUAGCU